AUUGAACGCUGGCGGCAGGCUUAACACAUGCAAGUCGAACGAGUGGCGGACGGGUGAGUAAUGCUUGGGCAUCUAGCUUAUGGAGGGGGAUAACUACGGGAAACUGUAGCUAAUACCGCGUACCAUAGGAUGAGGCAAAGUGGGAUUAGGUAGUUGGUGAGGUAAAGGCUCACCACGCCGACGAUGUCUAGCUGGUCUGAGAGGAUGACCAGCCACACUGGGACUGAGACACGGCCCAGACUCCUACGGGAGGCAGCAGUGGGGAAUAUUGCGCAAUGGGCGCAAGCCUGAUGGAGCCAUGCCGCGUGUAUGAAGAAGGCCUUCGGGUUGUAAAGUACUUUCAGUCGGGAGGCGUUACCGACAGAAGAAGCAACGGCUAACUCCGUGCCAGCCGCCGCGGUAAUAC
This 406-nucleotide ribosomal RNA is filed under the name uncultured bacterium. RNAcentral describes it as "partial 16S ribosomal RNA". It matches the Rfam family "Bacterial small subunit ribosomal RNA", at positions 30 to 526 of the family's 1533-position model. The record is from RNAcentral.